Pseudophryne corroboree (corroboree frog) is the source of this 1372-nucleotide long non-coding RNA. RefSeq lists it as uncharacterized. The record is from RefSeq and is a predicted model, not a curated record. NCBI's taxonomy places the organism in Eukaryota, Metazoa, Chordata, Amphibia, Anura, Myobatrachidae. The transcript is spliced from 2 exons.
AUUCAGCCUAUGGAGAGCGGGCGGGAAACCCUGCUGCGCCAGGGAUUGGAGGAGGAAAAAGAGCGCGAAGAGAGGGGCUCGCGGUGAAGAGGGACGGGUCGAGUGACUACGCGCGGCGGGUGCCAGCUGAGGAGCCGGAGCCGCAUGGUGUGGAGCAGAACCGCGGGAGAGCCCCAAGCAGUCAGCGGUUGCCGGGGGAACGGAGAUCUGGCGCUAGACACGGCUGUAUUCAUCGGGAGCCGGGGAGCCGCGGCACAGGGUGCAGAGAGUGGCGGUUAGCCAGAACGCGACACCGCCGGCUACCUCUGCACUAAGGGAGCAGACUGGGAGCCCGAGGGCUCUGCAGGGAGACGCUGAGGAGAUGCAAGAGAACAGAUCAGGGAACAAGAAGAGGGAUCCCGACAGACUGAGCAGAGAAGAGUCUGCAGCCACCAGACGUCCGCAGGAGCACCAGGCCCACUACAGAGAGAGGGAUAGCAAUGCCCCAUGCAGAGACUUGCUAACCCCUUUGACUUACCAGCGAGUAACCCAGAUGACUGUGGUCUGCGCGGAGUCACCAGAGAUCUGUAGCCCUGUCCCAGCCAAUGUGGCUUAGUUGCAAGAAUAAAAUGCGACUGAUAUGCACAAAGUGCCCUGCUUAUGCUCCUACACACCCCUUACUUGCAUGUUGAUUUAAACCCGGACUGGGGUUAGAAAGUCUGUUUUGAUUUGUCAGCCAAGACCGUCUUCUGCCCCACUGGCUUGCACCACGGGGCAGCAUCUCUUGUGUGACACUCCAUCCGGAAUAGUUUUACUCCCUAGGACUUACCUUUUCGUGGAUACAAACACCUCUCCAGUCAUAGAGGCGUCUGACGCUGCCGAACUACUUAUCUUUCUGUGGAUACAAAUACGGUUAGUACCGUCAGCCAUUGACGCUGUGUCGUAUUACCAACAGUUAGGUCUGCACACCUUCCUACAAACACUUACCUUACGUCCACUGAUGUUUUCCCAGGAGUUCACUGUUAAAGUGCAAAUGUUCUGUUAAAGCGACACUGACCGCAACCGCCCACUGAGGUGCAGGAACUGAAUGUUAGUGCCCGGCGUGCAGCGCCAUCCUAUGGACAGUUUAGGAAUCAUAUCCAAAUUACUAUCAGGACAUUUAUUACCCUAAAUUAUCGUGACAUACCAAAUAAUUACUAUUGCAUGUAAUGUAUUUGAUUUUUUGGACAAGUUAUUGUCAUGCCUUGGAGCUACAUAUGAGCCGUGGUAAAUGCUAUAGACAGGGAAAGACUCAGGGUAUUGUAGUAAUGUUCAACCUGUGCAACUGUGUUUAAUGAGAAUUGAAUUAUAGCAGUGACCGACACUUUCAGUUCAAUAAAUGGUUGUCACCGUC